UUUCAGUUUAAAAUAAAGCGGAAAAGCGUCUGAAUUUUUUUUUUUUUUUUUAAAUCCUUACCCCAGAGUAUACCAGAUCCGCCACAAAUACAGGGAAUCCACUGUUCACACGGACAGAGUCUCCCCUGUAUUUGCACGGCGUCGAUCAAAUACACAGUACAACCAGGAUACAACCACAACCAGAUAAAUAUAAAGAUAACUAUACAUUCAUACAUUCACCAUUCACAUCACAGUUUUACAUUCAAGGUAUAAACAGAAAUCCACAAAAAUCUUUUGAAAGCUGUUUCCUACACAGAAACCUUUAUUCUUUUAAAAACGCUACCACGAGGGGUAGAAAACCUUUUAUUUUACAA
Molecule: long non-coding RNA, 353 nt
Filed under: Ananas comosus (pineapple)
Lineage: Eukaryota; Viridiplantae; Streptophyta; Magnoliopsida; Poales; Bromeliaceae
Description: long non-coding RNA (ACOM_LNC034837)
Source: RNAcentral